This 673-nucleotide ribosomal RNA is filed under the name uncultured Colwellia sp. RNAcentral's name for it is "bacterial SSU rRNA". It matches the Rfam family "Bacterial small subunit ribosomal RNA", at positions 68 to 723 of the family's 1533-position model. The record is from RNAcentral. Lineage: Bacteria; Pseudomonadati; Pseudomonadota; Gammaproteobacteria; Alteromonadales; Colwelliaceae.
UACAUUUUCUAGCUUGCUAUAAGGUGACGAGCGGCGGACGGGUCAAAAAAGCAUUGGGAAUAUGCCUUAUGGUGGGGGACAACAGUUGGAAUUUUACUGCUAAUACCGCAUAAUGUCUACGGACCAAAGGGGGGGAUCUUCGGACCUCCCGCCAUUUGAUUAGCCCAAGUGAGAUUAGCUAGUUGGUAAGGUAAUGGCUUACCAAGGCGACGAUCUCUAGCUGGUUUGAGAGGAUGAUCAGCCACACUGGGACUGAGACACGGCCCAUACUCCUACGGGAGGCAGCAGUGGGGAAUAUUGCACAAUGGGCGAAAGCCUGAUGCAGCCAUGCCUCGUGUGUGAAGAAGGCCUUCGGGUUGUAUAGCACUUUCAGUAAGGAUGAAAGGGUAGUCGUUAAUAGCGGCUAUCUGUGACGUUUUCUUUCAGAAGAAGCACCGGCUAACUUCUUGCCUGCAGUCCUGCGUUAAUACGAGGGGUGCAAGGCGUUUAAUCGGAUUUACUGGUUGUAAAGCGUUCGUAGGCGUUUGAAUAAUCAAGAUGUGAAAGCUCUAGGUCUCAACCUUUGGAACUGCAUUUUUGAUCUGUUCGACUAUAGUACUGUAUGAGGGUGGUUGAAAUUUCCAGUGUAGCGGUGAAAUGCGUAUAGAUUGGAUGAACCUCAUUGUCUUAUGGC